This 464-nucleotide ribosomal RNA is filed under the name uncultured bacterium. Its description in RNAcentral is "bacterial SSU rRNA". It matches the Rfam family "Bacterial small subunit ribosomal RNA", at positions 55 to 507 of the family's 1533-position model. The record is from RNAcentral.
AUGCAGUCGAGGGGUACAGGGAUUAGUUUACUAGUCUGCUGACGACCGGCGCACGGGUGAGUAACGCGUAUACAAUUUACCUUUUACAGGAGGAUAGCCCAGAGAAAUUUGGAUUAAUACUCCAUGGUAUUAUCGGAUCGCAUGGUUUGAUAAUUAAAGUUUCGGUGGUAGAAGAUGAGUAUGCGUCCUAUUAGCUGGUUGGUAAGGUAACGGCUUACCAAGGCGACGAUAGGUAGGGGUCCUGAGAGGGAGAUCCCCCACACUGGUACUGAGACACGGACCAGACUCCUACGGGAGGCAGCAGUGGGGAAUAUUGGACAAUGGGGGAAACCCUGAUCCAGCAAUGCCGCGUGUGUGAAGAAGGCCUGCGGGUUGUAAAGCACUUUCAGUGGGGAAGAAAAGCCGAUGGUUAAUACCCCUUGGUCUUGACGUUACCCACAGAAGAAGCACCGGCUAACUCCGUG